This is a long non-coding RNA of Gossypium arboreum, 605 nucleotides long. RefSeq lists it as uncharacterized. The transcript is spliced from 2 exons. NCBI's taxonomy places the organism in Eukaryota, Viridiplantae, Streptophyta, Magnoliopsida, Malvales, Malvaceae. The record is from RefSeq and is a predicted model, not a curated record.
AACAUCUGGGCCUGUCUUCCUUUGGCCCAUUUCAGUCCCUAGUCUAAAACCUUGUUUUUGGAUACCCUCAUCUCCAAUUAGGGUUUCCAAAGCAUGAAACCUUGAAUUGUUUGUAGGUCCAAGGUCCUGUCUGCCACUUAUCUUGGUUGUCCUUGGCGGUCAUCUACGUCUCCUUUCCACUAGCAUCCAAGGGCCAUAAUCAUCUGAAUUCUUUGGAUUCUCCAUUGGUACAUGUGCCCUGGCAAUCUAGGAAGCCGAAUCCACGCCAUGACCAUACGGAGGUAAGGUUGUGCUGUGUUAAAAUCCAUAGAUCAAGGUUGUAAGGUUAGGUACUUCCCAUAAACAAUCCAAGGUCCUUGACAUAGGACCUUCUUAAAGUCCUCUGGGUUCUGAAAUUUAGCCAAGAAGUAACCAUUUUCAACAUCCAUAAAGCAAAACGGUUAAGACGAUUUCCACAAAGAAUGGACUUUAUUAUGAAGCGCAAUAUACACAAUGCUUCUUCCCAGAAGCUUAACUACCAAUGUAUGAGCCAUGUUGUUAAUUAGGAUCUAGUUUACCCAUUCAAAGAAACUAAUCGAUGGAAUACCAUUAAUUGAAGAACGCAC